GCUGGGCAUGGUGGCACAUGCCUGUAAUCCCAGCUACUCAGGAAGCUGAGGCAGGAGAAUCGCUUGAACCCAGGAGCUGGAGAUUGCAGUGAACCAGGACUGCACCACCGCACUCCAGCCUGGGCGACAGAGUGAGACUCUGUCUCAA
Non-coding RNA from Homo sapiens (human), 148 nucleotides. It matches the Rfam family "Metazoan signal recognition particle RNA". Rfam says of the family: The signal recognition particle (SRP) is a universally conserved ribonucleoprotein. It is involved in the co-translational targeting of proteins to membranes. The eukaryotic SRP consists of a 300-nucleotide 7S RNA and six proteins: SRPs 72, 68, 54, 19, 14, and 9. The record is from Rfam. Lineage: Eukaryota; Metazoa; Chordata; Mammalia; Primates; Hominidae.